GACGAACGCUGGCGGCGUGCUUAACACAUGCAAGUCGAGCGGAAAGGCCCUGCGUUUGUGGGUUGCACGAGAGGCGAACGGGUGAGUAACACGUGAGUAACCUGCCCUUGAAUUAGGGAUAACUCCACGAAACUGGGGCUAAUACCGGAUAGGAUCUAUUGCUGCAUAGUGGGGGAUGGAGAAUUUAGGCGGUUGGGGAUGGUCUGGCGGCUUAUCAGCUUUUUUGUGGGGUAGUGGAUUACCAGGGCUUUGAGGGGUAGCAGGCCUGGGAGGGUGGCCGGCCACAUUGGGACUGAGAUACGGCCCAGACUCCUACGGGAGGCAGGAGUGGGGAAGAUUACACAAUGGGCGGAAGCCAGAUGCAGCAACGCCGCGUGCGGGAUGACGGCCUUCGGGUUGUAAACCGAUGUCGCCUGUGACGAAGCGUGAGUGACGGUAAUGUGUAAAGAAGCACCGGCUAACUACGUG
Molecule: ribosomal RNA, 468 nt
Filed under: uncultured bacterium
Lineage: Bacteria
Description: partial 16S ribosomal RNA
Rfam family: Bacterial small subunit ribosomal RNA
Source: RNAcentral